This 497-nucleotide ribosomal RNA is filed under the name uncultured bacterium. RNAcentral's name for it is "partial 16S ribosomal RNA". It matches the Rfam family "Bacterial small subunit ribosomal RNA", at positions 28 to 507 of the family's 1533-position model. The record is from RNAcentral.
GAUGAACGCUGGCGGCGUGCCUAAUACAUGCAAGUCGAGCGAACAGACGAGGAGCUUGCUCCUCUGACGUUAGCGGCGGACGGGUGAGUAACACGUGGAUAACCUACCUAUAAGACUGGGAUAACUUCGGGAAACCGGAGCUAAUACCGGAUAAUAUAUUGAACCGCAUGGUUCAAUAGUGAAAGACGGUUUUGCUGUCACUUAUAGAUGGAUCCGCGCCGCAUUAGCUAGUUGGUAAGGUAACGGCUUACCAAGGCAACGAUGCGUAGCCGACCGGAGAGGGUGAUCGGCCACACUGGAACUGAGACACGGUCCAGACUCCUACGGGAGGCAGCAGUAGGGAAUCUUCCGCAAUGGGCGAAAGCCUGACGGAGCAACGCCGCGUGAGUGAUGAAGGUCUUCGGAUCGUAAAACUCUGUUAUUAGGGAAGAACAAAUGUGUAAGUAACUAUGCACGUCUUGACGGUACCUACUCAGAAAGCCACGGCUAACUACGUG